AACGAACGCUGGCGGCAUGCCUAACACAUGCAAGUCGAACGAGACCUUCGGGUCUAGUGGCGCACGGGUGCGUAACGCGUGGGAACCUGCCCUUAGGUUCGGAAUAACUCCCCGAAAGGGGUGCUAAUACCGGAUAAUGUCUUCGGACCAAAGAUUUAUCGCCUUUGGAUGGGCCCGCGUUGGAUUAGCUAGUUGGUAGGGUAAAAGCCUACCAAGGCGACGAUCCAUAGCUGGUCUGAGAGGAUGAUCAGCCACACUGGGACUGAGACACGGCCCAGACUACUACGGGAGGCAGCAGUGGGGAAUAUUGGACAAUGGGCGAAAUCCUGAUCCAGCAAUGCCGCGUGAGUGAUGAAGGCCUUAGGGUUGUAAAGCUCUUUUACCCGGGAUGAUAAUGACAGUACCGGGAGAAUAAGCUCCGGCUAACUCCGUG
RNAcentral lists this ribosomal RNA (433 nucleotides) under uncultured bacterium. RNAcentral describes it as "partial 16S ribosomal RNA". It matches the Rfam family "Bacterial small subunit ribosomal RNA", at positions 29 to 507 of the family's 1533-position model. The record is from RNAcentral.